GACGAACGCUGGCAGCGUGCUUAACACAUGCAAGUCGAACGAUGAAGCCGGAGCUUGCUCUGGUGAAUUAGUGGCGAACGGGUGAGUAUCACGUGCGUAACCUGCCCUUGACUCUGGGAUAACUGCGGGAAACUGUAGCUAAUACCGGAUACGACCCUCGGAGGCAUCUCCUGGGGGUGGAAAGAAGUUCGGUAAAGGAUGGACUCGCGGCCUAUCAGCUAGUUGGUGAGGUAAAGGCUCACCAAGGCGACGACGGGUAGCCGGCCUGAGAGGGUGACCGGCCACACUGGGACUGAGACACGGCCCAGACUCCUACGGGAGGCAGCAGUGGGGAAUAUUGCACAAUGGGCGCAAGCCUGAUGCAGCAACGCCGCGUGAGGGAUGACGGCCUUCGGGUUGUAAACCUCUUUUAGCAGGGAAGAAGCGAAAGUGACGGUACCUGCAGAAAAAGCACCGGCUAACUACGUGCCAGCAGCCGCCGUAA
Molecule: ribosomal RNA, 484 nt
Filed under: uncultured bacterium
Lineage: Bacteria
Description: partial 16S ribosomal RNA
Rfam family: Bacterial small subunit ribosomal RNA
Source: RNAcentral